CUAUACAUGACUCUGCGCAUAUCAAUAAGCGGAGGAAAAGAAACUAACAAGGAUUCCCCUAGUAACGGCGAGUGAAGCGGGAAGAGCUCAAAUUUGAAAUCUUAAAGGGUUUCCCUUUACGAAUUGUAGUUUAAAGAAGUGUUUUCUGUUGAGGUUUUGGUAAAAGUUCUUUGGAAUAGGACAUCAUAGAGGGUGAGAAUCCCGUAUUUGACCUUUACUUUCAACUUUGUGAUACACUUUCAAAGAGUCGGAUUGUUUGGGAAUGCAGUCCAAAAUGGGUGGUAAAUUUCAUCUAAAGCUAAAUAUUGGCGAGAGACCGAUAGCGAACAAGUACCGUGAGGGAAAGAUGAAAAGAACUUUGAAAAGAGAGUUAAACAGUACGUGAAAUUGUCAAAAGGGAAGCGUUUGACACCAGUGUUGUUUUUCUGAAAAUCAAUUAAAGAACUGUUUAUGCUAAGCUGUUUAGACUUUAUCAGCUAAUCUGUUUAGUUUUGAGCUUUUCUUUAAUGCACUUUUCAGUUAACAAGUCAACAUCAAUUUCUUUUGCUGUAAAAAAGCUUGAGGAAGGUGGCUUGAGAUUCGUCUUAAGUGUUUAUAGCCUCUUGCCUAUGCAGUCGGAGAGAUUGAGGUCUGCAGCGUAGAUCCUUCGGGGCUAAAUGCAUUUGUGCUAAGUUAUAGCAUUUUAUAGACAACUUGUUGACUAUGAUUUGUCUUGUAGCUUACUCGCUUAUGUUAUUUUACCUACGCUUAGGAUGUUGAUCUACAGAGCGAGAGU
This 775-nucleotide ribosomal RNA is filed under the name uncultured Neocallimastigales. RNAcentral describes it as "partial large subunit ribosomal RNA". It matches the Rfam family "Eukaryotic large subunit ribosomal RNA", at positions 22 to 635 of the family's 3401-position model. Lineage: Eukaryota; Fungi; Neocallimastigomycota; Neocallimastigomycetes; Neocallimastigales. The record is from RNAcentral.